GAGCUAACGCGUUAAGCGCGCCGCCUGGGAAGUACGGUCGCAAGACUAAAACUCAAAGAAAUUGACGGGGACCCGCACAAGCGGUGGAGUAUGUGGCUUAAUUCGAUGCAACGCGAAGAACCUUACCUGGGCUUGACAUGCAUUGCUAAUCCCGUGAAAGCGGGUGAGUCUUCGGACACCUUGCACAGGUGCUGCAUGGCCGUCGUCAGCUCGUGUCGUGAGAUGUUGGGUUAAGUCCCGCAACGAGCGCAACCCCUGUGAACAGUUGCCAGCGCGUGAUGGCGGGGACUCUGUUCAGACUGCCCAGAUCAACUGGGAGGAAGGUGGGAACGACGUCAGGUCAGUAUGGCCCUUACGCCCAGGGCUGCACACGUACUACAAUGCCCAGUACAAUUGGAACCGAAGCCGCGAGGCGGAGGAAAUCCGUAAAACUGGGCCCAGUUCGGAUUGGAGGCUGCAACUCGCCUCCAUGAAGCCGGAAUCGCUAGUAAUGGCACAUCAGCUACGGUGCCGUGAAUACGUUCUCGGGUCUUGUACACACCGCCCGUCACAUCAUGGAAGCCGGUAGCACCCGAAGUAUC
Molecule: ribosomal RNA, 581 nt
Filed under: uncultured Verrucomicrobiota bacterium
Lineage: Bacteria; Pseudomonadati; Verrucomicrobiota
Description: bacterial SSU rRNA
Rfam family: Bacterial small subunit ribosomal RNA
Source: RNAcentral